This 30-nucleotide non-coding RNA is filed under the name Rattus norvegicus (Norway rat). The record is from RNAcentral. Lineage: Eukaryota; Metazoa; Chordata; Mammalia; Rodentia; Muridae.
GCGAACUUGACUACCGGAUUCAUUAUGUUU